GUCGUCUUCGUGUAGUGGGCCCUCAGGUUGCCGUUCUCUGAAAUUACGAGAACGAUUAUUACGAGAAAUUGAAAUUUUCGAAUCCACGAAUGGCAGGAAGGUGUUCGUUGCAGAAAGAAGAAGAAGAAGAGGAUAUAAAUUUUUUAAAAUCCAGUUUAACUUGGUUGAACAAUCGGUUGACAUUUAAUGGCUGGUGCGCUUUCUUUUGGAUUUUUAGAAUAUUAUUACGCGGCUUCGAUACGUUAUAUAAACACUCGUCGAGGAAAUGAAAAGUUGAUGCGAGAACGUUGCUCGUUUCACGAUGAUCUCUCGAUCGAAAACCUUGAUGGAAAUUCAUGGUACGAGGAAACUUGUCUCGUGUAUAACAAGAAGAGCAACACAGAAUUACAGAGAACGAAAGGUGUUGCGCGCUCUUUCAUCUUGAGAAAACUUCGUUUCACCGUCAUGGUUCGCGGACCAGAAACCAGAGAAGUCGCGCCGAUACUUUUCCGGUUGAACAGCUGUCAUCGAGGGGAGAGUAUCGCCUACGCGGCUAUCGCUCACGUAUGCAAAAUAAUAGAAACAACGCGUCGAGAAUGGAGAGAACUUUCACGAUUUAUGAAUUUAGUCGAGAACGAGAGUAUCUACUGCACACGUGGAAUAUUCGCAGAAUAAGAAGUGGAGAUAAAUUUUUAUUGCG
Apis florea (little honeybee) is the source of this 679-nucleotide long non-coding RNA. The record is from RefSeq and is a predicted model, not a curated record. Lineage: Eukaryota; Metazoa; Arthropoda; Insecta; Hymenoptera; Apidae.